RNAcentral lists this ribosomal RNA (28 nucleotides) under Cichlidogyrus sp. Lida11_1. RNAcentral's name for it is "partial 5.8S ribosomal RNA". RNAcentral also lists the same sequence under 1 other name. The record is from RNAcentral. Lineage: Eukaryota; Metazoa; Platyhelminthes; Monogenea; Dactylogyridea; Ancyrocephalidae.
CAACUGCAAUUGGUGGAUCACUCGGCUC